Molecule: ribosomal RNA, 659 nt
Filed under: Stenotrophomonas indicatrix
Lineage: Bacteria; Pseudomonadati; Pseudomonadota; Gammaproteobacteria; Lysobacterales; Lysobacteraceae
Description: bacterial SSU rRNA
Rfam family: Bacterial small subunit ribosomal RNA
Source: RNAcentral
UAGCUACACAUGCAGUCGAACGGCAGCACAGAGGAGCUUGCUCCUUGGGUGGCGAGUGGCGGACGGGUGAGGAAUACAUCGGAAUCUACUUUUUCGUGGGGGAUAACGUAGGGAAACUUACGCUAAUACCGCAUACGACCUACGGGUGAAAGCAGGGGACCUUCGGGCCUUGCGCGAUUGAAUGAGCCGAUGUCGGAUUAGCUAGUUGGCGGGGUAAAGGCCCACCAAGGCGACGAUCCGUAGCUGGUCUGAGAGGAUGAUCAGCCACACUGGAACUGAGACACGGUCCAGACUCCUACGGGAGGCAGCAGUGGGGAAUAUUGGACAAUGGGCGCAAGCCUGAUCCAGCCAUACCGCGUGGGUGAAGAAGGCCUUCGGGUUGUAAAGCCCUUUUGUUGGGAAAGAAAUCCAGCCGGCUAAUACCUGGUUGGGAUGACGGUACCCAAAGAAUAAGCACCGGCUAACUUCGUGCCAGCAGCCGCGGUAAUACGAAGGGUGCAAGCGUUACUCGGAAUUACUGGGCGUAAAGCGUGCGUAGGUGGUUGUUUAAGUCUGUUGUGAAAGCCCUGGGCUCAACCUGGGAACUGCAGUGGAAACUGGACAACUAGAGUGUGGUAGAGGGUAGCGGAAUUCCCGGUGUAGCAGUGAAAUGCGUAGAG